Molecule: ribosomal RNA, 425 nt
Filed under: uncultured bacterium
Lineage: Bacteria
Description: bacterial SSU rRNA
Rfam family: Bacterial small subunit ribosomal RNA
Source: RNAcentral
GGGGAAUUUUGGACAAUGGGGGCAACCCUGAUCCAGCCAUGCCGCGUGAGUGAAGAAGGCCUUCGGGUUGUAAAGCUCUUUCAGCCGGGAAGAAAGCGCACUCUCUAACAUAGAGUGUGGAUGACGGUACCGGAAGAAGAAGCACCGGCUAACUACGUGCCAGCAGCCGCGGUAAUACGUAGGGUGCGAGCGUUAAUCGGAAUUACUGGGCGUAAAGGGUGCGCAGGCGGUUUUGUAAGACAGAUGUGAAAUCCCCGGGCUUAACCUGGGAACUGCGUUUGUGACUGCAAGGCUAGAGUACGGCAGAGGGGGGUGGAAUUCCGCGUGUAGCAGUGAAAUGCGUAGAUAUGCGGAGGAACACCGAUGGCGAAGGCAACCCCCUGGGCCUGUACUGACGCUCAUGCACGAAAGCGUGGGGAGCAAAC